GAUGAACGCUAGCUACAGGCUUAACACAUGCAAGUCGAGGGGAAACGACAUCGAAAGCUUGCUUUUGAUGGGCGUCGACCGGCGCACGGGUGAGUAACGCGUAUCCGACCUGCCCAUCACUUGGGGAUAACCUUGCGAAAGUAAGACUAAUACCCAAUGACGUCUCUAGAAGACAUCUGAAAGAGAUUAAAGAUUUAUCGGUGAUGGAUGGGGAUGCGUCUGGUUAGCUUGUUGGCGGGGUAACGGCCCACCAAGGCUACGAUCAGUGGGGGUUCUGAGAGGAAGGUCCCCCACAUUGGAACUGAGACACGGUCCAAACUCCUACGGGAGGCAGCAGUGAUGAAUAUUGGUCAAUGUACGAGAGUCUGAACCAGCCAAGUAGCGUGCAGGAAGACGGCCCUAUGGGUUGUAAACUGCUUUUAUAAGGGAAUAAAGUGAGUCUCGUGAGACUUUUUGCAUGUACCUUAUGAAUAAGGACCGGCUAAUUCCGUGCCAGCCGCCGCUGUAA
Molecule: ribosomal RNA, 508 nt
Filed under: uncultured bacterium
Lineage: Bacteria
Description: partial 16S ribosomal RNA
Rfam family: Bacterial small subunit ribosomal RNA
Source: RNAcentral